Molecule: ribosomal RNA, 500 nt
Filed under: uncultured Glomeromycotina
Lineage: Eukaryota; Fungi; Glomeromycota
Description: partial small subunit ribosomal RNA
Rfam family: Eukaryotic small subunit ribosomal RNA
Source: RNAcentral
CCAAUAGCGUAUAUUAAAGUUGUUGCAGUUAAAAAGCUCGUAGUUGAAUUUCGGGAUUAGUACGUUGGUCGUGCCUUAGGUACGUACUGGUGUUACUGGUUCCUACCUUCUGACGAACCAUCAUGUCAUUAAUUUGGUGUGGCGGGGAAUCAGGACUGUUACUUUGAAAAAAUUAGAGUGUUUAAAGCAGGCUCGCGCUUGAAUACAUUAGCAUGGAAUAAUGAAAUAGGACAUCCGAUUCUAUUUUGUUGGUUUCUAGGAUCGAUGUAAUGAUUAAUAGGGAUAGUUGGGGGCAUUAGUAUUCAAUUGUCAGAGGUGAAAUUCUUGGAUUUAUUGAAGACUAACUACUGCGAAAGCAUUUGCCAAGGAUGUUUUCAUUAAUCAAGAACGAAAGUUAGGGGAUCGAAGACGAUCAGAUACCGUCGUAGUCUUAACCAUAAACUAUGCCGACUAGGAAUCAGACGAUGUUAAUUUUUUAAUGACUCGUUUGGCACCUUACG